UACGGGAGGCAGCAGUGGGGAAUAUUGCACAAUGGGCGCAAGCCUGAUGCAGCCAUGCCGCGUGUAUGAAGAAGGCCUUCGGGUUGUAAAGUACUUUCAGUCGUGAGGAAGGUGUUAAGGUUAAUAACCUUAGCAAUUGACGUUAGCGACAGAAGAAGCACCGGCUAACUCCGUGCCAGCAGCCGCGGUAAUACGGAGGGUGCGAGCGUUAAUCGGAAUUACUGGGCGUAAAGGGCACGCAGGCGGUUAAUUAAGUUGGAUGUGAAAUCCCCGGGCUUAACCUGGGAAUGGCAUUCAAGCUGGUUAGCUAGAGUCUUGUAGAGGGGGUAGAAUUCCAUGUGUAGCGGUGAAAUGCGUAGAGAUGUGGAGGAAUACCGGUGGCGAAGGCGGCCCCUGGACAAAGGACUGACGCUCAUGUGCGAAGCGUGGGGAGCAAACAGGGAUUAGAUACC
This 452-nucleotide ribosomal RNA is filed under the name uncultured bacterium. RNAcentral's name for it is "bacterial SSU rRNA". It matches the Rfam family "Bacterial small subunit ribosomal RNA", at positions 340 to 786 of the family's 1533-position model. The record is from RNAcentral.